UGUUGCGCAAUUUGUGCAGUAUCUUAGCUAACGCGUUAAGUAUCCCGCCUGGGGAGUACGCUCGCAAGGGUGAAACUCAAAGGAAUUGACGGGGGCCCGCACAAGCGGUGGAGCAUGUGGUUUAAUUCGAUGCAACGCGAAGAACCUUACCAGGGCUUGACAUACUACAAAUCUUUUCGAAACGAAAGAGUGCCUUCGGGAAUGUAGAUACAGGUGGUGCAUGGCUGUCGUCAGCUCGUGUCGUGAGAUGUUGGGUUAAGUCCCGCAACGAGCGCAACCCUCAUUUUUAGUUGCCAAUUUAUUGGGAUUUCUAGAGAGACUGCCGGUGACAAACCGGAGGAAGGUGAGGAUGACGUCAAGUCAGCAUGCCCCUUAUGCCCUGGGCCACACACGUGCUACAAUGGCGAAGACAAAGAGUCGCAAACCUGCGAAGGCUAGCUAAUCUCGUAAACUUCGUCUAAGUUCGGAUUGUAGGCUGCGACUCGCCUGCAUGAAGUUGGAAUCGCUAGUAAUCGCUGGUCAGCUAUACAGCGGUGAAUUCGUUCCCGGGCCUUGUACACACCGCCCGUCACACCAUGGGAGCUGGUCAUACCCAAUAUCGUUAGCCUAACCAUUCGGAGGGCGGCGCUUAAGGUAGGGCUAGUGACUGGGGUG
RNAcentral lists this ribosomal RNA (654 nucleotides) under uncultured phototrophic eukaryote. RNAcentral's name for it is "bacterial SSU rRNA". It matches the Rfam family "Bacterial small subunit ribosomal RNA", at positions 821 to 1482 of the family's 1533-position model. The record is from RNAcentral.